AUAGAGUAAGAUUUUUUUAUCCUUUUAUCUUUCUUCUUAUUUUGACAACACUUUAUGUAUUAUUCAAGCAUUUAAGGCUAUGGAUCUAAGAUUUGAUCUUUGACUCAUUAUUUUUUAUUUUAAGACUUGAAUCUAAAGGUUUCUACUAAUAAGUUUCAGAUUUGACAUCAUAUAAAGGUUACUUUUCUUUAUUUAUCUCUGCUUUUAAUUUAAGUAGCGUGAUUGAAGUUUUGAACCUUUUUUCAUGAUUAUUCAAUUCAAGGCUGCAAGGUAGAUAUUUAUUUAAACAAAUAUAAGGAAUAUCAUCAUAAAAUGUUAGUGUUCUUUGUAUCUAGCUCUUUUUUAUGAAUUAGGCAUCAAUCUUUUUUUAAUGUUAUUUCUCUUUAUUAAACUAUGCAUUUGAGAACAUUGUUCAAAGAUGUUUCAUAUUUUAUGUGUGUCAGAUGAUUUAUGCUUUAACAAUCAAUCAUCUAACAAAAUCAAAUUUCAUUCUUAAAUUAUGUUUUUAUCAGUAACCCAAUUCAAACCGAUGACAUUUUC
Molecule: long non-coding RNA, 540 nt
Filed under: Solanum tuberosum (potato)
Lineage: Eukaryota; Viridiplantae; Streptophyta; Magnoliopsida; Solanales; Solanaceae
Description: long non-coding RNA (STUB_LNC001434)
Source: RNAcentral